GUGCCUAAUACAUGCAAGUCGAGCGGACCGACGGGAGCUUGCUCCCUAGGUCAGCGGCGGACGGGUGAGUAACACGUGGGUAACCUGCCUGUAAGACUGGGAUAACUCCGGGAAACCGGGGCUAAUACCGGAUGCUUGAUUGAACCGCAUGGUUCAAUUAUAAAAGGUGGCUUUUAGCUACCACUUACAGAUGGACCCGCGGCGCAUUAGCUAGUUGGUGAGGUAACGGCUCACCAAGGCAACGAUGCGUAGCCGACCUGAGAGGGUGAUCGGCCACACUGGGACUGAGACACGGCCCAGACUCCUACGGGAGGCAGCAGUAGGGAAUCUUCCGCAAUGGACGAAAGUCUGACGGAGCAACGCCCGCGUGAGUGAUGAAGGUUUUCGGAUCGUAAAACUCUGUUGUUAGGGAAGAACAAGUACCGUUCGAAUAGGGCGGUACCUUGACGGUACCUAACCAGAAAGCCACGGCUAACUACGUGCCAGCCGCCGC
Molecule: ribosomal RNA, 493 nt
Filed under: uncultured bacterium
Lineage: Bacteria
Description: bacterial SSU rRNA
Rfam family: Bacterial small subunit ribosomal RNA
Source: RNAcentral